RNAcentral lists this ribosomal RNA (253 nucleotides) under uncultured bacterium. RNAcentral describes it as "partial 16S ribosomal RNA". It matches the Rfam family "Bacterial small subunit ribosomal RNA", at positions 524 to 776 of the family's 1533-position model. The record is from RNAcentral.
GACGUAGGGGGCCAGCGUUGUUCGGAAUUACUGGGUGUAAAGGGCUCGUAGGCGGUGCGGCAAGUUGGGUGUGAAAUCUCUGGGCUUAACCCAGAGGCUGCUUCCAAAACUGCUGUGCUUGAGUGUGGGAGAGGCGCGUGGAAUUGCAGGUGUAGCGGUGAAAUGCGUAGAUAUCUGCAGGAACACCCGUGGCGAAAGCGGCGCGCUGGACCACUACUGACGCUGAGGAACGAAAGCUAGGGGAGCAAACAGG